This 446-nucleotide ribosomal RNA is filed under the name uncultured bacterium. Its description in RNAcentral is "partial 16S ribosomal RNA". It matches the Rfam family "Bacterial small subunit ribosomal RNA", at positions 338 to 795 of the family's 1533-position model. The record is from RNAcentral.
CCUACGGGUGACAGCAGUCGAGAAUCAUUCACAAUGGGGGAAACCCUGAUGGUGCGGCGCCGCGUGGGGGAAUGAAGGUCUUCGGAUUGUAAACCCCUGUCAUGUGGGAGCAAAUUAAAAAGAUAGUACCACAAGAGGAAGAGACGGCUAACUCUGUGCCAGCAGCCGCGGUAAUACAGAGGUCUCAAGCGUUGUUCGGAAUCACUGGGCGUAAGGCGUGCGUAGGCUGUUUCGUAAGUCGUGUGUGAAAGGCGCGGGCUCAACCCGCGGACGGCACAUGAUACUGCGAGACUAGAGUAAUGGAGGGGGAACCGGAAUUCUCGGUGUAGCAGUGAAAUGCGUAGAUAUCGAGAGGAACACUCGUGGCGAAGGCGGGUUCCUGGACAUUAACUGACGCUGAGGCACGAAGGCCAGGGGAGCGAAAGGGAUUAGAUACCCCAGUAGUC